Molecule: ribosomal RNA, 117 nt
Filed under: Candidatus Onthenecus intestinigallinarum
Lineage: Bacteria; Bacillati; Bacillota; Clostridia; Eubacteriales
Source: RNAcentral
UCCGGUGGCAAUGGCGAAGGGGAUCCACCUGUUCCCAUACCGAACACAGAAGUUAAGCCCUUAUGCGCCGAUGGUACUUGGCUGGAGACGGCCCGGGAGAGUAGGUCGCUGCCGGAU